Molecule: long non-coding RNA, 1352 nt
Filed under: Laticauda laticaudata (blue-ringed sea krait)
Lineage: Eukaryota; Metazoa; Chordata; Lepidosauria; Squamata; Elapidae
Description: lncRNA (ENSLLTG00000003823.1)
Source: RNAcentral
CCCCAGUAUGCUGUGAAAUCUGAAGAAGCUUCUUGGAUGAGAAGCGAAAGGUCUUCAAAAGGGGAAAAAAAAAAAAAGGAAGUCCAGUUGCCUCCUGAAAAAGCACCUUUGCGACAACCGUGACUUGGAUGACUGAGAAUCUCCACAGACAUAUAUGAUAGCCAUAGCUCCAGCCCGGGAAGAUGGCGGUAAAGUGAAUCAACGAGAGUCGGCGCGGGCAGAAGAAAGAGAGCACGCCUGCUUUUCCACAUUACCUCAGGACGGAGCCUUCGCUCGCUCUCUUCCCGCCUUUCGGCUAUCCAGCUCCAACCCGGCCGAGCCGGCGCCGCGCCCACCGCCGCCGCCCUGGGGAGUGGCAGGCAAACUGUGGCGGGUCUUGCUCCGGCUGUAAGCGGGGAGGAGAGGGCGGUGGUGAUUCGCUUGGGAGCUCGGGAUGCGGGGAGAGACGGAUGCCUCUGAGCUCCUGCAGAGCGCCUUUGGCUUUUCUCCGAGCGGGGACCUUUGUCGGCUGCCACUUGCCCUUCUGCCCUCGCCCCGGCUUAUGCUGCGUUUGGAGUGCUGCCAGCAGCGGCUGGACACACCCGGCUGUUGAUGAGAACCACCUGCCCUUUAGCAGGGGCAUCGUUUUGCUUGACGGUGGCUGCGUUGACAACGUCCUGAAAGUUGGUGAGUCAUUUGGGCUUCAGUGGAUGGAAGUGGUGGCGGGAGGGUGAUGCUAUCAUUUCUCUCCCCCUCAUGCCCCACUUUGCUUCCCGUCCCAGAGCUUUGGGUCAUGGUCUUGUCAGAGUCUUUCCCUCCUGCCUGUAUUCUUCAAGUGGACUCUCUUGGUUCAUUCAGCUGUACAGUUGGGAGCUCUCUUCUUGCUCCAGCCGCCCGAACCCCCCCGUGGACCUUUCCCCUCUCUUUAAGCUUGGUUUCUCUGUCAGUUCCUUAAGAAUACAGACUGGCGGGGAGGAGGAAGCUGAAUGAAUGAAUCGGCAGGAGAAUCCUCUGGGACAGGGGUUGCCAACCUUUUGGACCUCAGGGACCAUUAAACUCAGAAUUUUAAAUCCUGCGGACUACUAAUAUGAAUUUUGAUUGAUGGUAGCUUGCUGAUUUUUUCCCAGGGUCUCUGCAGAAAGCAGCAGGGAUCCUAGGAAAAUCCCAAAAAUAGUUUGCAGGAAAAUUUCCCAUCCCAUUUUCCUACCGAUCGAUCAUUCUUUAUUUGGGAUCACAGGAUAGCAUUUCCAGCUCCGUUCUUAGGGGAGAGAGACUUUUGGCUUCAUGCAAGGAAAGCAGCAGAAGCAGCAGAAGUCUUUCUUUCUCUCCCCCAAACUCNAAGUCUUUCUUUCUCUCCCCCAAACUCCGCCAGA